This 178-nucleotide small RNA is filed under the name Chrysemys picta bellii (western painted turtle). Its description in RNAcentral is "TUC338 (ENSCPBG00000019753.1)". Lineage: Eukaryota; Metazoa; Chordata; Testudines; Emydidae. The record is from RNAcentral.
CUCACAGCACUGGAGACCAACAUCCUCUAUUUCUGCUUAGUAUAGUAUGAGCAGCAGCAAUUCAAGCUUCCCCACAAUGUACCAUUCAAGUGCCUCAACCCUGGUGUAGGUGGACAGCUUGUAGGGGAAACCGAGUAGUUCAGGGCUUGUCAACAAAGUAACUGGAGCCACAACAGCU